Regulatory RNA element from Tetranychus urticae (two-spotted spider mite), 63 nucleotides. It matches the Rfam family "Selenocysteine insertion sequence 1". From Rfam's summary of the family: The incorporation of selenocysteine into a protein sequence is directed by an in-frame UGA codon (usually a stop codon) within the coding region of the mRNA. Lineage: Eukaryota; Metazoa; Arthropoda; Arachnida; Trombidiformes; Tetranychidae. The record is from Rfam.
GGUUCUUUAUGAUGACUGGUGUGUAAAGCCUCUAUGGAAGCGCACUAGUUUGAUGCUCGAUUU